CCUACGGGAGGCUGCAGUGGGGAAUAUUGGACAAUGGGGGCAACCUUGAUCCAGCCAUGCCGCGUGUGUGAAGAAGGCCCUCGGGUUGUAAAGCACUUUCAGUGAGGAAGAACGCCUGGUGGUUAAUACCCAUCAGGAAAGACAUCACUCACAGAAGAAGCACCGGCUAACUCCGUGCCAGCAGCCGCGGUAAUACGGAGGGUGCGAGCGUUAAUCGGAAUUACUGGGCGUAAAGCGCGCGUAGGUGGCUUGAUAAGCCGGUUGUGAAAGCCCCGGGCUCAACCUGGGAACGGCAUCCGGAACUGUCAAGCUAGAGUGCAGGAGAGGAAGGUAGAAUUCCCGGUGUAGCGGUGAAAUGCGUAGAGAUCGGGAGGAAUACCAGUGGCGAAGGCGGCCUUCUGGACUGACACUGACACUGAGGUGCGAAAGCGUGGGUAGCAAACAGGAUUAGAUACCCCAGUAGUC
Molecule: ribosomal RNA, 465 nt
Filed under: Vreelandella stevensii
Lineage: Bacteria; Pseudomonadati; Pseudomonadota; Gammaproteobacteria; Oceanospirillales; Halomonadaceae
Description: partial 16S ribosomal RNA
Rfam family: Bacterial small subunit ribosomal RNA
Source: RNAcentral